RNAcentral lists this ribosomal RNA (472 nucleotides) under uncultured soil bacterium. Its description in RNAcentral is "bacterial SSU rRNA". It matches the Rfam family "Bacterial small subunit ribosomal RNA", at positions 26 to 500 of the family's 1533-position model. The record is from RNAcentral.
AGAACGGACGCUGGCGGCAUGCCUAAUACAUGCAAGUCGAACGAACACUUCGGUGUUAGUGGCGCACGGGUGCGUAACGCGUGGGAAUCUGCCCUUGGGUUCGGAAUAACAGUUGGAAACGACUGCUAAUACCGCAUGACCUCGAAAGAGCAAAGUGGGGGAUCGCAAGACCUCACGCUUUUGGAGAAGCCUACGUCGGAUUAGCUAGUUGGUGAGGUAAUGGCUCACCAAGGCGACGAUCCGUAACUGGUCUGAGAGGAUGAUCAGUCACACCGGAACUGAGACACGGUCCGGACUCCUACGGGAGGCAGCAGUGGGAAUAUGGACAAGUGGGCGCAAGCCUGAUCCAGCAAUGCCGCGUGUGUGAAGAAGGCCGUUCGGGUUGUAAAGCUACGUUUAAGUUAGGAAAGAAAAACGUCGACUACUAACACAGUGAGUCUUAGACGUACCGACGAGAAUAAGCACCGACUAC